This 277-nucleotide ribosomal RNA is filed under the name uncultured bacterium. RNAcentral describes it as "partial 16S ribosomal RNA". It matches the Rfam family "Bacterial small subunit ribosomal RNA", at positions 335 to 604 of the family's 1533-position model. The record is from RNAcentral.
AGACCUACGGGUGUCCGCAGUAUUUCCUUUUCGUCCCUUUUCUCAAUCCUUAACGAGCAAUGCCGCGUGAACGAGGAAGGUCUUCGGAUCGUAAAGUUCUGUUGAAGGGGAAAAAGAGCGGAGAGAGGAAAUGAACUCCGAUUGAUAUUACCCUUCGAGGAAGUCACGGCUAACUACGUGCCAGCAGCCGCGGUAAUACGUAGGUGGCGAGCGUUAUCCGGAAUGAUUGGGCGUAAAGGGUGCGUAGGCGGCCUGCUAAGUCUGGGGUGAAAGGGAC